This is a long non-coding RNA of Papaver somniferum (opium poppy), 2074 nucleotides long. RefSeq lists it as uncharacterized. The record is from RefSeq and is a predicted model, not a curated record. The transcript has 2 exons. Lineage: Eukaryota; Viridiplantae; Streptophyta; Magnoliopsida; Ranunculales; Papaveraceae.
AACGUGUACGGCUGAAGGUGAUUGUAUUUGAGUAUAAAUGAUCAUCAGACCUUGGUUCAUCUUGAUCACAUGCAUGUUUUUCUCUGCUACUUAAUUCUGACUUCACUCACCGUCUCGUUAGGUUUCUUGAUUUUCUUCCGGUAACCAUUUAUAUCUCAACGAACCUAUCGUAGUUCUGGAUUAGUCCAAAAUGACCAAAAAGAAAAAGAAACAAAAGAUUGUGGUUUAUGUUGACGGAAUUGGUACAGGCAGACUCCGAAAUACCUCAUCAAGGAGCUAACCAAAUUUUGGUAUCUCGUACGUGUUUUCCGUAUCCCGCACGUAUUUUGAAGGGGUUGUUAGCAUGUGCAUUUUAAUUUGACCCUGAAAUUAAUUGAACACGGUUUGCUUCCUUCAAUUUCAUUUUUACAUUGAAUCGCAAUAAUUUGAGGUUUUGAUUUAUGGUUUCCCACUUUGUAAUCGAUGGAUUUUUAUGAAAUACGAAAAUCUAUUUGUAGGCAUAUAAUAGUUUACUUUUUGGAUUGCGUUUAGAGUUCAAAUUUUUGGUUGACUAUUGGACGAAUGGAUUAACGUCGGUGAUGAAGAUGGUGGUUCAGAGUUAACAAUUGGCCAUUAAUUAGUUGGAUUUUCAUCUUCUUCAAUUAGUCAAUUAGGUAUUUUUAGUGUUCACUAAAUAGUCAGCCCUUUUUGUUUCUUAAUUAUUAAUUUUUUUUGGGUGGGGAAAUUGCUUAUACUCCCUCCGUCUCAUUGUAUAGGUGGAGAAGUGAGUUUCUCUUAUAAUAAAUUUUUUUUUUGAUUUCCUAUAUUUUCAUCCUCUUUCCUGUUUUAUUAUUUGAACAAUUUCCAACACUAGAAACAUUAACUUAAUUGUGGUGAUAACUACCUAUAAUAAAUAAAGGCAAUAUAUGAAAAACCCACUUUGGAAUUGAAAGUCUGUCUAUCUAAUGGGACUAUAAAUUUUUAUAAUGGGACUAUAAAUUUUUAUAACUCCGCCUUUAUAAUAGGGACGGAGGGAGUAUAUAUAUAUGAGAACUUCAUUGAGUUGUGAGAAAUUAUUUGAUUUUUCUUUUCUAGGGAUAAAUGAGCUUCAUAUCUCGGGUGGUUCAAAUGGUCACAUUAUAUUUGUUAUGUGAUCUCGGCAACCACGUCGAAUGUUCUAAAGCUAUGGUGAAGUAAGACGUAAAAUAGAACGACCAUGAAAAACUAGAGACUCCGGUAACUAGAACAAACAUGAGAAACUAGUGAGUGCGGUGAUUUUUACGUUGUGGAGGUUGAAGAGUGCGACAGGGAAUAUCACUACUCCUUUGAACUGAAAAUCAGAUCCAAGCAAAUAUUUGCUUGAGUUUGUUGAUAUUUGUCUUUUACAUUAUGGUUGUUUCCUUUUACAAUUUUCGUGAAGCCUUUCACAUACCAGUGUCUUUCGGUGAUAUUAAUUGGUGCAGAGUUUUUUAAUUGGAAUAGAGUGAAGCUUCGUUAUUGUGAUGAUGAUCUUAAAUGCUUUCAUAUGCAUAGCAGCAUAGGUUGAUGUUAUCACAUGCUUAUGUUAGCAGCAUAGAUAUAUUGUGGCAACUCAUUUCUAAGAUUUUCAAACAUGAUGAUGGGUUCUGUUUUGUGCUGUGCAUUUGGAUUCCCACUUGGUUGGGCUCAUUUGAAGAUUAUGAAGAAGGUAGAUGAACAACGGCUGGGUUAUGAAUCUAGGUUGCCAGAUAGGAGAUGAGAAAGAGGUGGGGUUGGUGGUGCCAUUGAUAGACUUGAGGAUAACUUCAAACAAAAAAAAAAAAACUUCAGAAGAUCAAAUUAACAGAUGCAAGACGAAAGUUAUAUCUAAGGAAAGAAAUGAAACAGAAAAGUGAAGCAAGCAACUGACAUCUUUUUGAAGAAGAAAUAUGGCUCAGACAUACAUUCUACAUCCAUUUCUCUCAUUCCAAUGUAAUCUGUUGAUUACGAAAUCCAAGAGCCAAAUUUUAAUUAUAAUAUUUCCUAUUCAUGUUUUGUAUUUAUUUUUUCAAUUUGUUUGGUCUGUAUACCAGAGAAGCUAUAUAUGACAAGCGGUGGAGAAACCUAUUCAUGUUCA